Molecule: ribosomal RNA, 451 nt
Filed under: uncultured bacterium
Lineage: Bacteria
Description: bacterial SSU rRNA
Rfam family: Bacterial small subunit ribosomal RNA
Source: RNAcentral
GUGGGGAAUCUUGCGCAAUGGGCGAAAGCCUGACGCAGCGACGCCGCGUGGGUGAUGAAGGCCUUCGGGUUGUAAAGCCCUUUCAGCGGGGAAGAAACGUCCGUCGUCGAAUAGCCGGCGGACCUGACGGUACCCGUAGAAGAAGCCACGGCUAACUCCGUGCCAGCAGCCGCGGUAAGACGGAGGUGGCAAGCGUUGCUCGGAUUUACUGGGCGUAAAGCGCAUGUAGGCGGCCCCGCAAGUCAGACGUGAAAUCCCACAGCUCAACUGUGGAAUUGCGUUUGAAACUGCAGGGCUUGAGUGCAGGAGAGGAAGGUGGAAUUCCCGGUGUAGAGGUGAAAUUCGUAGAUAUCGGGAAGAACACCGGUGGCGAAGGCGGCCUUCUGGACUGUUACUGACGCUGAGAUGCGAAAGCGUGGGGAGCAAACAGGAUUAGAAACCCCUGUAGUCC